This 290-nucleotide ribosomal RNA is filed under the name uncultured bacterium. RNAcentral describes it as "partial 16S ribosomal RNA". It matches the Rfam family "Bacterial small subunit ribosomal RNA", at positions 506 to 795 of the family's 1533-position model. The record is from RNAcentral.
UGCCAGCAGCCGCGGUAAUACGUAGGGACCAAGCGUUAUCCGGAAUUACUGGGCGUAAAGGGUGCGCAGGCGGGCAUGCAAGUCCGACGUGAAAGCCCCGAGCUUAACUCGGGAAGUGCGCCGGAUACUGCAUGUCUUGAGGACCAGAGAGGCAGAGAGAAUUCCUGGUGUAGCGGUGAAAUGCGUAGAUAUCAGGAGGAAUACCUGUGGCGAAAGCGCUCUGCUGGAUGGUUCCUGACGCUGAGGCACGAAAGCGUGGGUAGCAAACGGGAUUAGAUACCCGGGUAUCC